GCUGCUCUGCGAAGCCGCUACACAGAUGGUGGCUUUGGCCUAGGCCACUUCUCUUCACCCUUGACGCGAGGGGUGGACUGCCCCUACCUGGCCACAUAUGUCGACUGGCACUUCCUUUUGGAGUCCCAGACCCCCAAGACAAUACAUGAUGCCUUUUGUGUGUUUGAACAGAAUCAGGGCCUCCCCCUGCGGCGACAUCACUCAGAUUUCAACUCCUA
Molecule: long non-coding RNA, 218 nt
Filed under: Marmota monax (woodchuck)
Lineage: Eukaryota; Metazoa; Chordata; Mammalia; Rodentia; Sciuridae
Source: RNAcentral